UCAAGAAACUAAGGGCGCAAGGCGGAUGCCUUGGCACCAGGAGGCGAAGAAGGACGUGACAAGCAACGAAAACCUCGAAUAGGAGCAAAUAUCCAGUAACUCGGGGGAAUCCGAAUGGGGAAACCUACUAGAUACACUCUAGUAUCCAUACGUAAAUACAUAGCGUAUGGAGGCGAAUGUUCUGAACUGAAACAUCUAAGUAGGAACAAGAAAAGAAAGAAAACUCGAUUCUCCAAGUAGCGGCGAGCGAACAGAGACAAGCCCAUUAAAGUAAGACUAAACUGAUAGACAAAUCUUAUGGAAAGAAGAACCAAAGAAAGUAACAGUCUUGUAGUCGAAAUCAGAAUAGAGACACUUUAAGAAGAGUACCACGGAGCACGUGAAAUUCUGUGGGAAGAUAGGGGGACCACCCCCUAAGGCUAAAUACUACCUGGUGACCGAUAGCGAAUAGUACCGUGAGGGAAAGGUGAAAAGAACCCCGGGAGGGGAGUGAAACAGAACCUGAAACCUUGCGCCUACAAGCAGACAGAGGAAGAAGACUUCUAAUGUCGUACUUUUUGUAGAACGGGCCAGCGAGUUACGAUACGUAGCAAGAUUAAACAUUUAAGAUGUGAAGUCGCAGGGAAACCGAGUCUUAAUAGGGCGAAAGUUAUGUGUUGUAGACCCGAAACCGGGUGAUCUAUCCAUGGGCAGAGUGAAGGUAAAGUAAAAUUUACUGGAGGCUCGAACCGGGUAGCGUUUAAAAGCUAUCGGAUGACCUGUGGAUAGGGGUGAAAAGCCAAUCGAACUCGGAUAUAGCUGGUUCUCCUCGAAAUAGCUUUAGGGCUAGCCUUGUUUUAGAUUACAGGAGGUAGAGCACUGAAUAGUCUAGGGGAAGUAAUUCUACCGAAACUUAUCAAACUCCGAAUGCCUGAAAAUCGAUGAACAGGAGUCAGACCAUGAGGGAUAAGCUUCAUAGUCAAAAGGGAAACAGCCCAGACCACCAGUUAAGGUCCCAAAAUACAGAUUAAGUGGGAAAGGAUGUAAUACUACUCAGACAACCAGGAUGUUGGCUCAGAAGCAGCCAUACAUUUAAAGAGUGCGUAAUAGCUCACUGGUCAAGUGGUAAUGCGCCGAAGAUGAACGGGGCUAAAUCUGAUACCGAAACUGUGGGAUAGAAAAGCAAUUAUGCGAGAAGUAUGAAGUAAAAGUGAUUAGGAAAUAUAUCAACUAGUAAAGUAAGAGAGAAAGACAAAAAUUAAAACUAUUAAACGAUACAAUUUCUAAAACACUUAACAACAUACAACUGGCAUAAUAGCUUUUCUAUCGGUAGAGGAGCGUUGUAUAUGAAUUGAAGCAAAAAGCGUAAGCAAUUGUGGAUUAUAUACAAGUGAGAAUGCUGGCAUGAGUAGCGAAAAGGGAUGUGAGAAUCAUCCCCGUCGAAAGCCCAAGGAUUCCUGAGCAAGGCUCGUCCUCUCAGGGUAAGUCGGGACCUAAGGCGAGGCCGAAAGGCGUAGUCGAUGGACAACAGGUAGAAAUUCCUGUACUACAAGAUUGUGAUUGAGAGAAGUACUGACGCAGAAGGAAAAGUCGAGCGUGUGAAUGGUAGAACACGUCCAAGUAACAAGCCAGAAUAUACAGGCAAAUCCGUAUAUUCGCUAACGUAAGUUAUCAUGGGGAGCAGAAAGAUGCGAAGCGACAGAUUCAAACUGCCAAGAAAAGGUGCUAUCGAAUAAUCUUGUACCCGUACCGCAAACCGACACAGGUAGGCAAGAAGAGAAUUCUAAGACGCGCGGAAGAACCUUUGUUAAGGAACUCGGCAAAAUAAUCCCGUAAGUUAGCGAGAAGGGAUGCCUAAGAAAUUAGGUCGCAGAGAAUAGGCCCAAGCGACUGUUUACCAAAAACACAAGUAUCUGCUAAAUCGAAAGAUGAAGUAUAGGUGCUGACACCUGCCCGGUGCUGGAAGGUCAAGGGGACUUGUUAGAGCAAUCGAAGCAACGAACUUAAGCCCCAGUAAACGGCGGCCGUAACUAUAACGGUCCUAAGGUAGCGAAAUUCCUUGUCGGGUAAGUUCCGACCCGCACGAAAGGUGUAAC
This 2075-nucleotide ribosomal RNA is filed under the name human gut metagenome. RNAcentral's name for it is "bacterial LSU rRNA". It matches the Rfam family "Bacterial large subunit ribosomal RNA", at positions 3 to 2005 of the family's 2925-position model. The record is from RNAcentral.